ACACUCAGAACAUCAUCAGAGAAGGCACAAGAAGUCAUAGGCACAAGAUACCACAGGCACAUGCUGCCUCUCAUGUGAAGAUGAGAAAAGCAUAAGAUGCCGUAGGCACACGAUGCCUCUCAUGAGGGCUAACUAACCAAACCCUCAGAACAUCAUCGAAGAGGGCACAAGAUGUCGUAGGUACAAGAUGCUGCAGGCACAUGUUACCUCUCGUG
Molecule: long non-coding RNA, 215 nt
Filed under: Elaeis guineensis (African oil palm)
Lineage: Eukaryota; Viridiplantae; Streptophyta; Magnoliopsida; Arecales; Arecaceae
Description: long non-coding RNA (EGUI_LNC028356)
Source: RNAcentral